CGCAAGGGGCGCACUAGGGUAAUACCGGUGACUGGGGCUAAGUCGUAACAAGGUAGCCGUACCGGAAGGUGCGGCUGGAACACCUCCUUUCUGGAGUUCGGACUUGAGAAGCAAGGAUGGUUCUUGAGAAACGAUAAGGAGAUUUUUCUGAAGGUAGUAGUCUCUAUGUAAGAGACUGGUAUCAGCCUUCGGUUUCGACUCUCGGCUUUUUUAUUAUAAAAGAAUCUUUACUGCACAGACUGCAAUAGAAGCAUCAGCUUGUUCGACGUAUGAAUAAAACGAAUAUAACCUGCGGAUAUUCUCUGUGGCGCGCCUUGGGCGCGGCGGGGGGAUGUCCGGGAGGGUUCUCUCUUAGAGCGAUAAGAGAGAGAAUAGACUUGAAAAAAACAGGAGUCUCUCCCUCCCCCGAGGCAGUCUUCGUUAUCUUUCGAUCUUUCGAUCUUUCUUCUUUCGAUCUUUCAUCUGUUAUGGAGGGGAGGCGGGAGUUAAGAACACAAGGAGGAUAAAAGAAACGAUGUGGCGGUCAGGCAGCACAUGCUGCCACAGGCAGAGGGUAGAGAGUUCGAAUAAGAGAGAAGCAGUCCUAUAGCUCAGUUGGUUAGAGCGCUACACUGAUAAUGUAGAGGUCGGCAGUUCAACUCUGCCUGGGACUACGGGGGAUUAGCUCAGCUGGCUAGAGCACCUGCUUUGCAAGCAGGGGGUCAUCGGUUCGAAUCCGAUAUUCUCCACGAAAAAAGAAGGCGAUCAUUGACAUAUUGGAAGCAAAAUAGAAUAAAGAAUUGAAGUAGAGCACAACAAGCUUAAGUAUACCGCCCGCGGCAAUUAUAUUGCCGGGCGCACAAAAGUAAGUAAGGGC
RNAcentral lists this unclassified non-coding RNA (856 nucleotides) under Porphyromonas gulae. RNAcentral describes it as "partial 16S-23S ribosomal RNA intergenic spacer region". The stretch from base 580 to 653 matches the Rfam family "tRNA". The record is from RNAcentral. Lineage: Bacteria; Pseudomonadati; Bacteroidota; Bacteroidia; Bacteroidales; Porphyromonadaceae.